RNAcentral lists this ribosomal RNA (609 nucleotides) under uncultured bacterium. Its description in RNAcentral is "bacterial SSU rRNA". It matches the Rfam family "Bacterial small subunit ribosomal RNA", at positions 8 to 649 of the family's 1533-position model. The record is from RNAcentral.
AGAGUUUGAUCCUGGCUCAGAAUCAACGCUGGCGGCGUGCCUAACACAUGCAAGUCGAACGAGAAAGUGGAGCAAUCCAUGAGUAAAGUGGCGCACGGGUGAGUAACACGUGACUAACCUACCCUUGAGUGGGGGAUAACUGAGGGAAACCUUAGCUAAUACCGCAUAAUACCCACGGGUCAAAGGAGCAAUUCGCUCGAGGAGGGGGUCGCGGCCGAUUAGUUAGUUGGCGGGGUAAUGGCCCACCAAGACGAUGAUCGGUAUCCGGCCUGAGAGGGCGCACGGACACACUGGAACUGAAACACGGUCCAGACUCCUACGGGAGGCAGCAGUGGGGAAUUUUGCGCAAUGGGGGAAACCCUGACGCAGCAACGCCGCGUGGAGGAUGAAGUCCUUCGGGACGUAAACUCCUUUCGAUCGGGACGAUUAUGACGGUACCGGAAGAAGAAGCCCCGGCUAACUUCGCGCCAGCAGCCGCGGUAAUACGAGGGGGGCGAGCGUUGUUCGGAAUUAUUGGGCGUAAAGGGUGCGUAGGCGGUUUGGUAAGUCUGAUGUGAAAUCUAUGGGCUCAACUCAUAGUCUGCAUCGGAAACUGCCGGGCUGGAGUGU